CAGUAGCCACGGGAAUACGAAGGGUGCAAGCGUUAAUCGGAAUUACUGGGCGUAAAGCGUGCGUAGGCGGUGAGUUAAGUCUGCUGUGAAAUCCCCGGGCUCAACCUGGGAAUGGCAGUGGAUACUGGCUCGCUAGAGUGUGUCAGAGGAUGGUGGAAUUCCCGGUGUAGCGGUGAAAUGCGUAGAUAUUGGGAAGAACACCGGUGGCGAAGGCGGCGACCUGGUCCUUUACUGACGCUGAGGCGCGAAAGCGUGGGGAGCAAACAGGAUUAGAUACCCGAGUAGUCCCUGUCUCUUAUAA
RNAcentral lists this ribosomal RNA (301 nucleotides) under uncultured bacterium. Its description in RNAcentral is "partial 16S ribosomal RNA". It matches the Rfam family "Bacterial small subunit ribosomal RNA", at positions 509 to 809 of the family's 1533-position model. The record is from RNAcentral.